Molecule: ribosomal RNA, 549 nt
Filed under: Alternaria brassicae
Lineage: Eukaryota; Fungi; Ascomycota; Dothideomycetes; Pleosporales; Pleosporaceae
Description: eukaryotic LSU rRNA
Rfam family: 5.8S ribosomal RNA (bases 195-348)
Source: RNAcentral
GGGUAGGGUGACCUGCGGAGGGAUCAUUACACAAAUAUGAAGGCGGGCUGGAACCUCUCGGGGUUACAGCCUUGCUGAAUUAUUCACCCUUGUCUUUUGCGUACUUCUUGUUUCCUUGGUGGGUUCGCCCACCACUAGGACAAACAUAAACCUUUUGUAAUUGCAAUCAGCGUCAGUAACAAAUUAAUAAUUACAACUUUCAACAACGGAUCUCUUGGUUCUGGCAUCGAUGAAGAACGCAGCGAAAUGCGAUAAGUAGUGUGAAUUGCAGAAUUCAGUGAAUCAUCGAAUCUUUGAACGCACAUUGCGCCCUUUGGUAUUCCAAAGGGCAUGCCUGUUCGAGCGUCAUUUGUACCCUCAAGCUUUGCUUGGUGUUGGGCGUCUUGUCUCUAGCUUUGCUGGAGACUCGCCUUAAAGUAAUUGGCAGCCGGCCUACUGGUUUCGGAGCGCAGCACAAGUCGCACUCUCUAUCAGCAAAGGUCUAGCAUCCAUUAAGCCUUUUUUUCAACUUUUGACCUCGGAUCAGGUAGGGAUACCCGCUGAACUUAA